RNAcentral lists this small nuclear RNA (47 nucleotides) under Cervus elaphus hippelaphus. The record is from RNAcentral. Lineage: Eukaryota; Metazoa; Chordata; Mammalia; Artiodactyla; Cervidae.
CACUUCUUGACCUUUUGGUUAAGAUCAAGUGUAAAAUAUUUGUUUUU